This 1433-nucleotide ribosomal RNA is filed under the name Fructilactobacillus sanfranciscensis. RNAcentral's name for it is "bacterial SSU rRNA". It matches the Rfam family "Bacterial small subunit ribosomal RNA". Lineage: Bacteria; Bacillati; Bacillota; Bacilli; Lactobacillales; Lactobacillaceae. The record is from RNAcentral.
UAAUCUCCCGCACAGAAAGAGGGGGUUAACCCCUUGGAAAACGGGUUUUUUAUUUCCCGUUAAAACAACAAAAACCCCCAUUGGUUUUUUUUUUAGAAAAGGCGGCCUUUUUGGGUUUAGGCUUUCGGGGAAUGCCCCGCGGUGCGUUUUUUGGUUUUGUUGGGGGAAUAUAUGGCUCCACAAAGGCCAAUGAUCCGUUGGGCAGCCCUGGAGGGGUUAUUUUGCCACAAUGGGACUGAGACACGGCCCAUACUCCUACGGGAGGCAGCAGUAGGGAAUCUUCCACAAUGGACGAAAGUCUGAUGGAGCAACGCCGCGUGAGUGAAGAAGGGUUUCCGGUUCGUAAAACUCUGUUGUUAGAGAAGAACAGCCGUGAGGAGCAACUGCUCCACGGUAUGACGGUAUCUAACCAGAAAGUCACGGCUAAUUACGUGCCAGCAGCCGCGGUAAUACGUAGGUGGCAAACGUUGUCCGGAUUUAUUGGGCGUAAAGGGAGCGCAGGCGGUUUAUUAAGUCUGAUGUGAAAGCCUUCGGCUUAACCGGAGAAGUGCAUCGGAAACUGAUAAACUUGAGUGCAGAAAAGGAUAGUGGAACUUCAUGUGUAGCGGUGAAAUGCGUAGAUAUAUGAAGGAACACCAGUGGCGAAGGCGGCUAUCUGGUCUGUAACUGACGCUGAGGCUCGAAAGCAUGGGUAGCAAACAGGAUUAGAUACCCUGGUAGUCCAUGCCGUAAACGAUGAAUGCUAGGUGUUGGAAGGUUUCCGCCUUUCAGUGCCGCAGCUAACGCAUUAAGCAUUCCGCCUGGGGAGUACGACCGCAAGGUUGAAACUCAAAGGAAUUGACGGGGACCCGCACAAGCGGUGGAGCAUGUGGUUUAAUUCGAUGCUACGCGAAGAACCUUACCAGGACUUGACAUCUUCUGCCAAUCUAAGAGAUUAGACGUUCCCUUCGGGGACAGAAUGACAGGUGGUGCAUGGUUGUCGUCAGCUCGUGUCGUGAGAUGUUGGGUUAAGUCCCGCAACGAGCGCAACCCUUGUCUUUAGUUGCCAGCAUUAAGUUGGGCACUCUAGAGAGACUGCCGGUGAUAAACCGGAGGAAGGUGGGGAUGACGUCAAAUCAUCAUGCCCCUUAUGUCCUGGGCUACACACGUGCUACAAUGGGCGAUACAACGAGUUGCGAAACCGCGAGGUCAAGCUAAUCUCUUAAAGUCGUUCUCAGUUCGGAUUGCAGUCUGCAACUCGACUGCAUGAAGUUGGAAUCGCUAGUAAUCGUGGAUCAGCAUGCCACGGUGAAUACGUUCCCGGGUCUUGUACACACCGCCCGUCACACCAUGAGAGUUUGUAACACCCAAAGUCGGUUGGAUAACCUUUUUAGGAGUCCGCCGCCUAAGGUGGGACAGAUGAUUAGGGUGAAGUCGUAACAAGAGCCAUGCCG